GCCAUUGUGGUGCAGUGGUUAAAGUGCUUGGCUGCUAACCAAAAGGUUGGUGGUUUGAACCUGCCAAAGGCU
This 72-nucleotide transfer RNA is filed under the name Loxodonta africana (African savanna elephant). It matches the Rfam family "tRNA". From Rfam's summary of the family: Transfer RNA (tRNA) molecules are approximately 80 nucleotides in length. Lineage: Eukaryota; Metazoa; Chordata; Mammalia; Proboscidea; Elephantidae. The record is from Rfam by way of RNAcentral.